CCAGGGUGCAUGCUGCCGUGACCCUUGGUGACCAUGUCCCCUGUGGCCUUCCUCCAAGGCUUGCUCCAGCAAGCUCUGACAUGCUGUCCUCCCUGACCUUCUGGGCUGCGGCUUCUCCAACUUCCCUUAGCUCCUACAGACAGAGGAGCAACAGCAAGGCACAAGGAUUACUACACUGAGCAUGAUGUCCCCCAGGCUCAUCCAUGUUGUAGCGUGUGCCAGGGUUUCCCUCCCUGUUAAGGUCCGAAGGGUUCCACUUUCUCCACAUCCUCGCCAACGCCAAUCCUUGCCAACGCUGGGUUUUUGACAGUGACCAUCCUGAUGAGUAUGAGGUGGUAGAGCUGCCUGCUUUUUGAUUAAUGUGACGAUCACACCCUCUGCCUGGGAAUUUUACAGAAUGGUGAUGACUUUUUGUGGCAUCUCAGGAAAGAAAAUAACUUCAGGGACGUCCUUAGUCAGAAUCUACUCAGUAUAAGCUCACAUGAGACCUCGCCUCCCCAGGGAGUCACAACCGCUAAUAUACUUCUUCCUUCUGCUCUGCCCCCCACAAACCGCCCUGCCAGUCCUCACCACCUAAAGGGAGAUUGGGAGCUGGUAGAGGAAAGACACCCUAAAUCCCUGAGGUCAGGCAAAGCCCUGGGGCGGCGCCGUGGGAUCCCUGCCUCAGGCCUGCCUAGACAGUAUGUGAAUGAGUAUCCCAGAGAUUUUCCCCGCUAUGACCUUGAGGGCCAGCCUGCCUGUGUGGCCGUGAGCUGCUUUCUUCCCAGAGGAACUUACUCGUGGCAGCAGGACUCCACAGCCUCAGGGGCAGCCUGGGCUGUGGCGAAGUGGGGAGCUGUCCUGGUUGGGUGAAGGUCCAAAUCACCUCCCCAUCCCAAGGGUCACUUCUCUAGAGAGAAUACGACACACGCAAGAACCGAAACCUCACAGGGGCUGCUUGUCCACCUUCAAGAAAGGUUCAGACAGAUGUCCAAGGUGGUGGAUGGAACUCCUGUUCCCCUUUUCCUCUACUUGCAAAAUCUAGCCACGCCGUGGCCCGACGAUGGAGAAGAAGCCGAGAACCCGGCAAGGAUCUCUUUUCCUCCAACCGUGGCCUUUCUGGCUAAGCUGCUGGUUGGGCACAUUCCCAGCUCCACAUGGCGGCAGCCUUGCUGCAUCCUGCCUGGGCUCAGGCCUCUACACUGCCCUCGCUGCUUUUCUGUCUUCCGUGUUCCUGCUGGGCCUUGAUUUUUCUUGGUCUGGCUCAGGGUCUUCAACCAGCCACAUUUCCCCGUUCAUCUGGGAUCCUUUGUUUCCUUCUCCAAACCUCUCUCUGCGUGGUUGGGCAAGUGGGAGGAUCCUGGAGCUCUGGGUUUCCAUACCUGUCACCCCCUGUCACGGAAAUUCCCUUGGUCUCCAGGGCUCAAGCAGACGGCAGCAUAACUCCUAUAGGAUGAGCGGUAGCCAAGCGUGGCUGGCCUUUGCCUUCCAAGAAAGGUGGUGUUUCCUGGCAUCUACAGGGCCUUCACCCCUCUUGAGGGAUAUCCAGCCCCUCUGCUCCCAGGCGGGACUGCCUCCCAGCACUGAAUCUUCUGACCGCCACGGGUUUCACUGAGCCAAGUGGACGGAGGGUCGGCCUGCUUCAGCUGAGGGUGUGUGUGCCGUCGCCAGCAUAGGGGUGGGAGUGGCUGGCAUGUCACAGAAACGUCUUGGGUCUUUCUUGUGGCAGGCAUCCCUGAGGGUGGCUUGGACCCCAGUGUGGCCCUCUUGGGGUUCCCAGGUUUGCUGGGCCUUUCCUUCACUUUUUUGGUGAGGGGGCCUUCCGUCUUGGAAUGGCUCCAUUCCAAGAGUCCUUGGAGACACACACUCACUCCACCUGCUCGCCAGCCUGGUGCUCGCAUCACAGCGCCCGCCACCGUUGCCUGCAGGGUGUCGCCAGGGAGGUCCCGGGAUCUUAGGAGCCACAGAGGGCCGAUCAGGAUGAACAAACGUCAGUCGGAGCCCCAGUGAUGCACUGCGGGAUCCCUGUCUCAGUCCUGCCUAGAUGAUGUGCAGGCCUCGGCAAAGUGCGGAGCUGCCUCGGCCUGCAGAGGUCCAAAUCACCUCCUCAUUUAGAGGGACUAUGUCUCUAGAGAGAAGAAGACAUGCCAAAAACGAAAACCUCACAGGAGCUUUUUGUCCACUUGCAAGCGAAGUACAGACGUGUUUGAGACGGUGGAUGGACUUUUUUUUUUUUCCUUUUCUCUCUUUCCAAAAUCCGGACACACCAUGGCCCAGUGACGGAGAAGAAGUUGAGGACCUGGCAAGGAUCUUCUUUCUUAGGAGUCGUGGAGGGCUGACCAGUCUCAAUAAAGCACCGGGGAGCCCACGUGACCCAGCAUCUGGGUGGCAGCUUGUGGACAAUCUGCAGCUCAUCUGGAUCACACAGCUCAGCUGAACUCACAGCUGGAGGCCCAGCACUGCCCAGGGGCUGGCGGCCAUCCUGUUUGGGUGGGGCUCUGCAGGAUGGGGAACCACACGACGGUCUCCCUGGGAGCCUGGGAAAAGGGAGGGUCCACAGAUUACAAGGGGACAAGAGCCUGUUGGACAAAAAUGACCGAGUGGGAAGCUGCCUAGCUCUGACCAGGUCUGGGAACACAUUGGGAUUGGAAGUCAUCUAAAUAUAGCCUGUUUAUAGUCUGUGAUCUGACUUUCUCAGGCACUGUUUGUAUGAGAGCUGGUAACUACAGCACAGUUUUUCUAAACUGGUCAUUUUCUACACUAACUUUUUAUUUGCAUUUGAAAUGAUUUUUAUUAUUGGCACCAGAGAAUUAAAACCUCAGACUAUGGCUGUGGCUGAAAGCUACGCACAGCUUUCCAUAACAUCUUAAUUUAUCAGCCUGUUUGGGUGUUUGAACAUUUAAAGCAAGCAGGAUAAAAGAAUCUGAAGGGAUUGCUUCUUUUCACAUCUCAUCAUUCAUCCGACUUUGUGUUUAACUGUUCAGUUCAGUUCACUGAAUGUCUGUAUUAAUGCUUCACUCAUCCACAGAGGUGUAAAUAUGAAUGACAGUGUGUGCCCAUUCAAAGGCACAGUGGGAAGAAGAUAAUCCCAUAGUCUUGGGACCAUAGGGCCACCAAAUACCUGCACCACAAAGGAGUAAAGAGACUUAGUAGUCUCUUUAGCCAUCGCUGCAGCCAUUCCCCAGGUUUCAGGAAUCAACGUCUUCAUUUGCUUUCAUUCUUUCUCUUACUCAGUGGUCCCCUCAACCACGGCCAUGGCUAUCUCUGAGAAUCCCCUGGGCAGAUUUUCAAAGUUCCAUGCCCAGCCAUGCCCAGGAUGCACCCCAGACCAGUCAUCAGGUCCCGACCCGUGGGGUGGCUCUGCGAAAGCUCCCUGGUGGAUUCUCAAGUUGUACUGGGUGGAGACUGCCGCCUAGCAGGCCAUAGCACAGGGAACUCCAGAGCUAAUCUAACCCUGCAGAUAGGGAACAAAAGCAACAAAACAUUUUAAAAUAAAAUAACGGAGCAAAGA
Non-coding RNA from Macaca mulatta (Rhesus monkey), 3490 nucleotides. The record is from RefSeq and is a predicted model, not a curated record. Lineage: Eukaryota; Metazoa; Chordata; Mammalia; Primates; Cercopithecidae.